AAGCAAAGCCGCGNGGUAGAGCAAAUCUCAAAAAAACAAUCUCAGUUCAGACUGCAGGCUGCAACUCGCCUGCACGAAGUCGGAAUUGCUAGUAAUCGUAGGUCAGCAUACUACGGUGAAUACGUUCCCGGGCCUUGUACACACCGCCCGUCAAACCAUGAGAGUUGGCAACACCCGAAGUCGGUAGUCUAACCGCAAGGAGGACGCCGCCGAAGGUGGGGUUGAUGAUUAGGGUUAAGUCGUAACAAGGUACC
Molecule: ribosomal RNA, 254 nt
Filed under: uncultured bacterium
Lineage: Bacteria
Description: partial 16S ribosomal RNA
Rfam family: Bacterial small subunit ribosomal RNA
Source: RNAcentral